UGCGUAGGUGGUUGUUUAAGUCCGUUGUGAAAGCCCUGGGCUCAACCUGGGAAUUGCAGUGGAUACUGGGCAACUAGAGUUCUGUAGAGGGGGGUAGAAUUCCAGGUGUAGCGGUGAAAUGCGUAGAGAUCUGGAGGAAUACCGAUUGCGAAGGCAGCCCCCUGGACAGUGACUGACGCUCAUAUGCGAAAGCGUGGGGAUCAAACAGGAUUAGAUACCCCAGUA
Molecule: ribosomal RNA, 225 nt
Filed under: uncultured Thorsellia sp.
Lineage: Bacteria; Pseudomonadati; Pseudomonadota; Gammaproteobacteria; Enterobacterales; Thorselliaceae
Description: partial 16S ribosomal RNA
Rfam family: Bacterial small subunit ribosomal RNA
Source: RNAcentral